GCCAGGCAUGGUGGUGCGUGCCUGUAAUCCCAGCUACUUGGGAGGCUGAGGCAUGAGAAUCGCUUGAGCCCAGGAGGCAGAGGUUGCAGUGAGCCAAGAUUGUGCCACUGCACUCCAGCCUGGGUGACAGAGUGAGACUCUGUCUCCA
Pan troglodytes (chimpanzee) is the source of this 148-nucleotide non-coding RNA. It matches the Rfam family "Metazoan signal recognition particle RNA". From Rfam's summary of the family: The signal recognition particle (SRP) is a universally conserved ribonucleoprotein. It is involved in the co-translational targeting of proteins to membranes. The eukaryotic SRP consists of a 300-nucleotide 7S RNA and six proteins: SRPs 72, 68, 54, 19, 14, and 9. The record is from Rfam. NCBI's taxonomy places the organism in Eukaryota, Metazoa, Chordata, Mammalia, Primates, Hominidae.